Molecule: ribosomal RNA, 557 nt
Filed under: uncultured bacterium
Lineage: Bacteria
Description: bacterial SSU rRNA
Rfam family: Bacterial small subunit ribosomal RNA
Source: RNAcentral
ACGGGUGAGUAACGCGUGGGAAUCUACCCAGCUCUACGGAAUAACUCAGGGAAACUUGUGCUAAUACCGUAUACGUCCGAUAGGAGAAAGAUUUAUCGGAGUUGGAUGAGCCCGCGUUGGAUUAGCUAGUUGGUGGGGUAAUGGCCUACCAAGGCGACGAUCCAUAGCUGGUCUGAGAGGAUGAUCAGCCACACUGGGACUGAGACACGGCCCAGACUCCUACGGGAGGCAGCAGUGGGGAAUAUUGGACAAUGGGCGCAAGCCUGAUCCAGCCAUGCCGCGUGAGUGAUGAAGGCCCUAGGGUUGUAAAGCUCUUUCAACGGUGAAGAUAAUGACGGUAACCGUAGAAGAAGCCCCGGCUAACUUCGUGCCAGCAGCCGCGGUAAUACGAAGGGGGCUAGCGUUGUUCGGAAUUACUGGGCGUAAAGCGCACGUAGGCGGAUUGUUAAGUGAGGGGUGAAAUCCCAGGGCUCAACCCUGGAACUGCCUUUCAUACUGGCAAUCUCGAGUCCGAGAGAGGUGAGUGGAAUUCCGAGUGUAGAGGUGAAAUUCGUAGA